AGACGAACCGUCCAAACGUUAUUCGGAAUCACUGGGCUUAAAGGGUGCGUAGGCGGCAUAGUAAGUUGGGUGUGAAAUCCCACGGCUCAACCGUGGAACUGCGCUCAAUACUGCUAUGCUUGAGGGAGAUAGAGGUGAGCGGAACUAAUGGUGGAGCGGUGAAAUGCGUUGAUAUCAUUAGGAACACCAGUUGCGAAAGCGGCUUACUGGGCAGUGCCUGACGCUGAGGUGCGAGAGCGUGGGGAGCAAACUGGAUUAGAAACCCGAGUAGUCC
RNAcentral lists this ribosomal RNA (274 nucleotides) under uncultured bacterium. RNAcentral's name for it is "partial 16S ribosomal RNA". It matches the Rfam family "Bacterial small subunit ribosomal RNA", at positions 523 to 796 of the family's 1533-position model. The record is from RNAcentral.